This 501-nucleotide ribosomal RNA is filed under the name uncultured Glomeromycotina. RNAcentral describes it as "partial small subunit ribosomal RNA". It matches the Rfam family "Eukaryotic small subunit ribosomal RNA", at positions 591 to 1092 of the family's 1831-position model. Lineage: Eukaryota; Fungi; Glomeromycota. The record is from RNAcentral.
CCAAUAGCGUAUAUUAAAGUUGUUGCAGUUAAAAAGCUCGUAGUUGAAUUUCGGGAUCAAUACGUCGGUCGUGCUUUUGGGUACGUACUGGCGUCAUUGGUUUCUCCUUUCUGACGAACCAUGAUGUCAUUAAUUUGGUGUUAUGGGGAGUUAGGACUGUUACUUUGAAAAAAUUAGAGUGUUUAAAGCAGGCAUUAGCUUGAAUACAUUAGCAUGGAAUAAUGAAAUAGGACGUUCGAUCCUAUUUUGUUGGUUUCUAGGAUCAACGUAAUGAUUAAUAGGGAUAGUUGGGGGCAUUAGUAUUCAAUUGUCAGAGGUGAAAUUCUUGGAUUUAUUGAAGACUAACUACUGCGAAAGCAUUUGCCAAGGAUGUUUUCAUUAAUCAAGAACGAAAGUUAGGGGAUCGAAGACGAUCAGAUACCGUCGUAGUCUUAACCAUAAACUAUGCCGACUAGGGAUCGGAUGAUGUUAAUUUUUUAAUGACUCAUUCGGCGCCUUACG